GAGCUAGGUCUAGCGGUUAGGAUUCCUGGUUUUCACCCAGGCGGCCUGGGCUUGGACUCGACUCCUGGUGGGAACCA
Non-coding RNA from Saguinus oedipus (cotton-top tamarin), 77 nucleotides. NCBI's taxonomy places the organism in Eukaryota, Metazoa, Chordata, Mammalia, Primates, Cebidae. The record is from the annotation of a GenBank genome assembly.